ACCCACUGAGCCACCCACGCGCCCCCAGUUUUUUUAUCCUGACCUUUCAAUUUCCUUUCCCCAAUUACGGCUGUUUCUUGGGGAAGACAUGAUUGCUCUUAUACUCAUUUUCAUGUGAAGUGUGUCAAGUCUGUGUGUCAUCUUCCCAACCUGAGGGGUCAGCUCCUUGAGAACGAGGUGCUUGCCGCCUGAUUCCUGGUUUCUCCCCUGGACCACAGCAGACGCCGGAGUUCAUGUCUGCUAAUGGCUCAUUUCAUUCCAGUGCCACAGCCGGGCUAGCGAGUUCGAAGCCGUGAGGACAAUUUGCAAUUGUGUCCUGUGAGAUGGACGGGAACACGUGAUGCCAGUUGGGCAGGGACCGCAAAUGACUCAGAUUCUGAAGCAGUUUGUUCUCCUGGUGGUGAUUCCUGAAGUCUCCAGGAAGCUUGUGGGGGCGCCCAGGACUCUGCAUUCGCCGUUGCACUUGGAAUGCAAGGAGCAUCAGAGAAGGAGAUUGACAGCUCUCUGCGAACAGGAGCUCCCUCCCUCCUGGUCACCACGGCAUCCCUGUGGCCUGUCAAGGCCCGAAGGACAUGAUGAGUCCACAGGGACGAGAGGAUCCAGGGCGUCCCAGAGAGGGAAGCCCCUUGGACAAUGACAGUCCUCACUCUGGAGCCGGGACACGACUCCCUCGUGGAAAGUUCACAAGGGACCAGCCCCGUGAGAGCAGUGUUCCGGGAGCGCUUUUCUGGGAGCACUCUUCUGACCACAACAGGUGGCGCAGAGGGAGUCUGACAGGAGCUUCAUGGCUCGAGAAUCCUGGCAGGUGUACAGGUGUCGCCCAAGUGAUGGGCGACACCUGGAGACCUGACGGAGUGGCCCAGGCCCCACAGGGAGAUGCCCCGCGAGCUAGGUCUUCCAAGGAGCCCCAGCCCAAGCUGAAAUCCGUCACGCCUGAGCAAACGUGUCCUUCUUGGGAAGUACCCAUGCUGUUUAAGUGCCUUCUGUAUGCAAAGUUUGUCCUUUUAGCGGUUUUGUUAAAUGUUCAUAAUGGGUAACUUCGAAAAUGGCUUCCACGUGCUUCCUUGCCUUCUCGGGGAAAAGAAAGGGCACAGAAUUUUCCCUAGCGCCCCGGGGACCGUGGGAUCUGCGUGCUGCUGUGUGGCCCUGACCCCAGGGCUGCGGGCAGGCUGUCGGCGCACGCUGCAGAGCCUGGACCGCUGGGCUGUGUGGAUUCCCACUCUAGUUCUGUUCCGGUUGUCCAGUCGUCCGGUCUGGCCCCUCUUCGUGUCCUCGUCGGCGUGUCUGCCCUGGCCUUCCUGUGGCUGCUUCAUCUGCUGAGGGACAAGGGGGGACCAGAGCGCCCAGCUCAUUCCAGUUCUGUCCACUUACCCCUCCGGCAGUGGCCGGUGCGAGACAGGAGUGCCGACUAAUGGUUUUUAAGAUUUUUUAUUAUUUUUGGUUCACUUGGAUGGCUCAGUCGG
Molecule: long non-coding RNA, 1463 nt
Organism: Neogale vison (American mink)
Lineage: Eukaryota; Metazoa; Chordata; Mammalia; Carnivora; Mustelidae
Exons: 4
Source: RefSeq, a predicted model, not a curated record